Molecule: ribosomal RNA, 460 nt
Filed under: uncultured bacterium
Lineage: Bacteria
Description: partial 16S ribosomal RNA
Rfam family: Bacterial small subunit ribosomal RNA
Source: RNAcentral
CCUACGGGUGGCAGCAGUGAGGAAUAUUGGUCAAUGGACGCGAGCCUGAACCAGCCAAGUAGCGUGAAGGAUGACUGCCCUAUGGGUUGUAAACUUCUUUUAUAUAGGAAUAAAAUGCAGCACGUAUGCUUUUUUGCAUGUACUUUAUGAAUAAGGAUCGGCUAACUCCGUGCCAGCAGCCGCGGUAAUACGGAGGAUCCGAGCGUUAUCCGGAUUUAUUGGGUUUAAAGGGAGCGUAGAUGGGUUGUUAAGUCAGUUGUGAAAGUUUGCGGCUCAACCGUAAAAUUGCAGUUGAUACUGGCAGUCUUGAGUACAGUAGAGGUAGGCGGAAUUCGUGGUGUAGCGGUGAAAUGCUUAGAUAUCACGAAGAACCCCGAUUGCGAAGGCAGCUUGCUGGGCUGUAACUGACACUGAUGCUCGAAAGUGUGGGUAUCAAACAGGAUUAGAUACCCUAGUAGUC